GAACAUAGAUCAGCUGAUAGAACACUUGCCUCGCAUGCACAAGGCCCUGGGUUCAAUUCCCAGCAUCA
Molecule: transfer RNA, 68 nt
Filed under: Marmota monax (woodchuck)
Lineage: Eukaryota; Metazoa; Chordata; Mammalia; Rodentia; Sciuridae
Description: tRNA.Ala
Source: RNAcentral